AACAAAAACACCGCCUGCUUCCUUUUUAGUAGGUAGAUUCUGCCCAAUGAGACUUAAAUGGCCGCAGUAUCCUGACUGUGCUAAGGUAGCAUAAUAAUUUGUCUCUUAAUUGGAGGCUAGUAUGAAUGAACUGACGAAGAAAAGACUGUCUCAGGAGGGGAAGAGAAAAUUUAUAUUCAGGUAAAAAAUCCUGAAAGCUGUAGAGGGACGAUAAGACCCUAAAAGCUUUACCCUUAAAGCCUAAGCUCCUAUAGCUUUAUUAGGCCUGUAGGGUUUUCACUGGGGCGGUGUCUCUGUUAAACCAGAGCAGUUAAAACACUCUGAGUGAACUUAAUAACCUUAGCUAAAAUAUUUAAGUAAGUUACUUUAGGGAUAACAGCGCAAUUCUCUGUGAGAGCCCUUAUCGACCAGAGAGAUUACGACCUCGAUGUUGAAUUGAAGACUUAGCCAGAGCAGCAUUUGGUAACAC
This 469-nucleotide ribosomal RNA is filed under the name Ligia exotica. RNAcentral's name for it is "partial 16S ribosomal RNA". It matches the Rfam family "Bacterial large subunit ribosomal RNA", at positions 1806 to 2571 of the family's 2925-position model. The record is from RNAcentral. Lineage: Eukaryota; Metazoa; Arthropoda; Malacostraca; Isopoda; Ligiidae.